AUUGGGUAGGGGAGCGUUCUGUAAGCCGUUGAAGGUGCAUUGUAAAGUGUGCUGGAGGUAUCAGAAGUGCGAAUGCUGACAUGAGUAACGAUAAAGGGAGUGAAAAACUCCCUCGCCGGAAGAUCAAGGGUUCCUGUCCAACGUUAAUCGGGGCAGGGUAAGUCGACCCCUAAGGCGAGGCCGAAAGGCGUAGUCGAUGGGAAACGGGUUAAUAUUCCCGUACUUCUUAUAAUUGCGAUGGAGGGACGGAGAAGGCUAGGUGAGCCUGGCGACGGUUGUCCAGGUCCAAGUAUGUAGGCUGAUGGUUUAGGCAAAUCCGGACCAUCUUAAGGCUGAGAUACGAUGUCGAGCUACUACGGUAGUGAAGUCAUUGAUGCCAUGCUUCCGGGAAAAGCUUCUAAGCGUCAGAUUAUAAGAAAUCGUACCCCAAACCGACACAGGUGAUCAGGUAGAGAAUACCAAGGCGCUUGAGAGAACUCGGGUGAAGGAACUAGGCAAAAUGGUACCGUAACUUCGGGAGAAGGUACGCUCCUAGCGGUGAUGAGACUUGCUCUCUAAGCUGCCGGGAGUCGCAGAUACCAGGUGGCUGCAACUGUUUAUUAAAAACACAGCACUGUGCAAAAUCGAAAGAUGACGUAUACGGUGUGACGCCUGCCCGGUGCCGGAAGGUUAAUUGAUGGGGUUAGACUUCGGUCGAAGCUCUUGAUCGAAGCCCCGGUAAACGGCGGCCGUAACUAUAACGGUCCUAAGGUAGCGAAAUUCCUUGUCGGGUAAGUUCCGACCUGCACGAAUGGCGUAAUGAUGGCCACGCUGUCUCCACCCGAGACUCAGUGAAAUUGAAAUCGCAGUGAAGAUGCUGUGUACCCGCGGCUAGACGGAAAGACCCCGUGAACCUUUACUAUAGCUUGGCACUGAACAUUGACCCUACAUGUGUAGGAUAGGUGGGAGACGUUGAAGCAACCGCGCCAGUGGUUGUGGAGUCAAUCUUGAAAUACCACCCUUGUAUGCUUGAUGUUCUAACGUUGGCCCCUUAUCGGGGUUACGGACAGUGCCUGGUGGGUAGUUUGACUGGGGCGGUCUCCUCCCAAAGAGUAACGGAGGAGCACGAAGGUGGGCUAAUCACGGUCGGACAUCGUGAGGUUAGUGCAAUGGCAUAAGCCCGCUUGACUGCGAGAAUGACAAUUCGAGCAGGUGCGAAAGCAGGUCAUAGUGAUCCGGUGGUUCUGAAUGGAAGGGCCAUCGCUCAACGGAUAAAAGGUACUCCGGGGAUAACAGGCUGAUACCGCCCAAGAGUUCAUAUCGACGGCGGUGUUUGGCACCUCGAUGUCGGCUCAUCACAUCCUGGGGCUGAAGUCGGUCCCAAGGGUAUGGCUGUUCGCCAUUUAAAGUGGUACGCGAGCUGGGUUUAGAACGUCGUGAGACAGUUCGGUCCCUAUCUGCCGUGGGCGUUGGAUGAUUGAGAGGGGCUGCUCCUAGUACGAGAGGACCGGAGUGGACGAACCGCUGGUGUUCGGGUUGUAUCGCCAGAUGCAUUGCCCGGUAGCUAAGUUCGGAAUCGAUAACCGCUGAAAGCAUCUAAGCGGGAAGCGAGCCUCAAGAUGAGUCAUCCCUAGACCUUUAAGGUCUCUAAAGGGUUGUUGAAGACUACAACGUUGAUAGGUCAGGUGUGUAAGUGCUGCGAGGCAUUGAGCUAACUGAUACUAAUUGCCCGUGAGGCUUAACCAUACAACACCCAAGGGGUUU
RNAcentral lists this ribosomal RNA (1743 nucleotides) under Photobacterium phosphoreum. RNAcentral describes it as "bacterial LSU rRNA". It matches the Rfam family "Bacterial large subunit ribosomal RNA", at positions 1223 to 2925 of the family's 2925-position model. Lineage: Bacteria; Pseudomonadati; Pseudomonadota; Gammaproteobacteria; Vibrionales; Vibrionaceae. The record is from RNAcentral.